Long non-coding RNA from Salvelinus fontinalis (brook trout), 2021 nucleotides. RefSeq lists it as uncharacterized. The transcript is spliced from 3 exons. NCBI's taxonomy places the organism in Eukaryota, Metazoa, Chordata, Actinopteri, Salmoniformes, Salmonidae. The record is from RefSeq and is a predicted model, not a curated record.
CAUCAACCCAACUUAACCUUUUUAACUGUUGUCGCAUCCAAACUUGUCACCAUCGUUUUCAGUUGUAAUUGCGAAGUUCCCGGAAGAAGUCCAGCAACAACGGAGGUUCCUCGAUGAACCCACCUUCUAACAAGUUCUUUGAAGAACGUUUUGGGGGUGUUUGGUAUAGCUACUUGGUAUAGCUACUUGUUAGCUGCUACUUCCGAAUUUGAACACGACUUUUUACAACCAAGCAACAAUUCUUUUGGACAAAGGACCACUUCGCCAAGAUUCUGAUGGAAGCUCGUCCAAAACCUUCCUCUCCUCUGAAGACCCAGUGAGGGUGGAGCUCAGUCAGAGAGCUGUUGAGGGACUGGUUAGGAAGAACACUUCUACAGCCAGAGAGGGUUAGUCAAGAAAGGGAACGGCAAGGCCACAGAACAUGACAUAAGCAGAGCUGUGGGAGACCACCUCAAGCCCCUGGUAGAGCCGGGGGUGGUGUUUACCACUCCACCAGCAGAGCUGUGGGAGACCACCUCAAGCCCCUGGUAGAGCCGGGGGUGGUGUUUACCACUCUACCAGCAGAGCUGUGGGAGACCACCUCAAGCCCCUGGUAGAGUCGGGGGUGGUGUUUACCACUCUACCAGCAGAGCUGUGGGAGACCACCUCAAGCCCCUGGUAGAGCCGAGGGUGGUGUUUACCACUCCACCACUCCUUCAGCAGGCUGGAAAAGUGAUACUGUUUUUCAUACUAAGAGGUACCAAGAGUCUGUUGAUUGGUCAUUGGGUUCAUCAUUGGGUUCAUUUGUUGAAAUCAAAUCAAGCUUUAUUUAUACAGCACAUUUCAGACAUGAUGCAACAAUGGCUUCACAGGAAAAACCAAUGAAAAUAAACAGAAAUAUUUAGUACACAUCAAACAGAAGACUAACAACUGAAAGACUAAUGAACAUUCUAAGGAAAUGCCAUUGAUUAAAAUAUUAAUUGGAUGCAAUAUCCAACUCAAAAUACAAGCUUGUUUUUUAGGAGGGGCUCUGAUAAACACUAUGGGGGUGUCCACUGAAAAUUGACAAGUAACAACAACUGGGACCUAAAAGACACCCAUCAUGAGACCCACUAAAUCUGCCCAAGAAGAGGCAAACAAAAGAAAAACCCACACCAAACUUAAAGACAGGAAGCAAACCAAACAGGUGGAGCAACUAAAGGUGUUCACUCUCCACAUCUAUCAAGACAACUAGAGCACUGGGCCAGACACUCUUAAAUAGAACCUGGACCAGCUCAGGUGAAACACCUUACCACUAACGAGAUGGACAAGCCAGCACAGGUGUAACACAUACUGACUAACGAGGUGACACCAAUCAGUGCGUCCUACGUGCUAAAGUCCAACCUCAAAACAGAAAUGGAAAAACCAAAGCCUGCAACACCUUCCCCCUUAAGACAAAUAUAUCCUAUUUUUCCCCCCCACUAGCUUCUAGAACUCUCGUCCCCUUGGAACAAAAUCAAUUGUGAACUGCCCACCCUUGAUAUGAAAAAAAUAUGAGGUGAUUUGAGUCAAUUCACUUAAUGGUGAGGCAUGGAACAAUAAAACAUGUAUCUUUUGUCAGGCUGAAUGUUUGAAAUGUGAGGUGAUUUGAGUCAUGCUUCUUCAGUAGUGGAAUAAAGACAAUUAGCACUUGAAUGUUGUCAAGAAAUACUGGAGUGAUUGAUGUCAGAUUGUUAAUAAAAUUGAUUAUAGACCAAUUUAUUAUACUGCUUUCAUGUGUGUAUAUACACAAACAUCUGCAACAAUUAUCAUAUUACAUGUAUUUUUUUAAACAAGCAGCUUUUUCAACUUGUAGAAAACAGCUGGCUACAUUUUGAAGUGUUGCAUUUUGAUUAAAGUGGGUCACCAACGCAGUAAGUGUAACACAGCUCUUUUUUUGUUAGUCACUUUUUGUUAAAUAAUACUCUUUCAAUUCAGAGCCUGGAUUUUCCCCUGAGGCUAAUAUCCAUAUCAUGCUGCAAUCAAUUGAACAGGGCAAACGAUAAGGUAGAACAUCAUUAAAA